UGUAAGCGUAUACCAAAGUUGUUGCAGUUAAAACGCUCGUAGUCGGAAUUUGGCAGUUCCGGAUGUGUGCACGUCGUGUGCGCACUUCGCGGGGAUUGCUUUUGUGGUCUUGCGUAGGAUGAGGCACUUUUAUUAGUGAACGUCCUCACGCAACCACUUUUUACUGUGAGAAAAUCAGAGUGCUCAAAGCAGGCAUUUGCCGUGAAUGUAUUAGCAUGGAAUAAUAGAAUAGGACUUGGUUCUAUUUUGUUGGUUUGUUGGGGCUGAGUAAUGAUUAAGAGGGACAGUUGGGGGCAUUUGUAUUUCGGUGCUAGAGGUGAAAUUCUUAGAUUACCGAAAGACAAACUGCUGCGAAAGCGUCUGCCAAGGAUGUUUUCAUUGA
Molecule: ribosomal RNA, 382 nt
Filed under: uncultured eukaryote
Lineage: Eukaryota
Description: partial 18S ribosomal RNA
Rfam family: Eukaryotic small subunit ribosomal RNA
Source: RNAcentral